CCUGACUCAAGAGCCAGGUGAGCACAGAGCUCCAGGAUUUGGGGCUCAGGGACCCUCUCCCAGCCCUUCUAUCUGGAGGUGGCCUGGGCUUACAGCCAAGCCAGGCUCUCCUUGGGUCCUUCCACAUCCCAGAGGCCCACACUGAGCUUGGCUGCAGCAAGGCUGAUGGCAGGGCCUUCGGGCUCCUGCUGAUUCAUCUUGCUGACUCCAGGCUCGGGGCUGCUACCCAAGGAGGGCCUUAGAGUCCUGAGAGUAUCUCCUGACCAAUCAAUCCUCUCUCCCCUGGGACCGACACUGGUGACUCAGGGAUAGAGUGCACCCGAUGAAAGGUAGUAUUUGUUGUGUGUCUCUCUCCAGCCUUAUCCAUGAGCUCCUUAAUAGCAAGUCACACACCUCCUCCCACGUGCCAGGUGCGUGGUGGGGCUCUGUCAUGCUGGUUGAAUUGAGCAGUGGUUGUGCUGUGUGAUUAUGCUGAAUGUAUGGGGGACUGUGCCGGGAGCAGCCAUCCACGAUCACGUCGCUGGGCUGGAUGGUCCUCCUUGGUUUUAGGUCUUCUCCCAAAGAGGGAAUGGUGGAGGGAUGAUCAUAACAAUAAUAGCCAAAAUAGCAAACAAGUCACAGUACCAGAGGCUGUGGUGACACCUUACGUAUAUGGUCUCUUAAAUUCUCCCAACAGUCCUAUGAGACGGGCACUGUUUUACUCCCUUUUUGCACAUGAGGACACGGAAGCACCUGGCUCACUCUCCUUCAUUCUUCAGGCCUCUGUUUGAAUGUCUUCUCCUUUGGGAAGGCCAACACCCUCUACCUCCAUAACAUUGCAUUUUUGAUACUUCCUGGCUUUUGAUGACUUGUGUCUCUUCCCUGAUCUGUAAGGGCAGGGGCUACAUCUGUCUUGUUCACUAUUGAACCCGUGGUGCCAGGCACUCAGCUGGUAUGGAGUAGAUGCUCAAUAAAUGUGUUUGAAUGAAGGAAUGAACCAAUUCUUACAGCAUCACUUUGUGUCUACAGAAGCAUUCCAUCAGUCUGUGGGGAGGGGAGGCGCUUUCCUCUGUGUCUCCCUGCAGUGUCCACUGAGCCAAGAGGUGUCCCAGACCCAGGCAUCUCUGUUUAAUAAGAAUUCAUUGAGCACCUACUAUAUGCCUGAGUCUACACCGAGUGACAGGAAAGGGACCCCUGACCUCAAGGAAUGUCUAACAUUGAGGACAUGGGAACUAAAGACUAUAUCUUCUGCAAAGAACUCCCUUCAUUUGCAUUUCUCCUAAAGCUGUGUCAUGCUUUGAGAAUGCAUCCUGCAUAGCCUUCUAAGAGUUCUGGGAAGAGAAGAAUGGGCUCCCUGCUCAUCAGGCUUCUCAGCUCCAGAGGACCCUGUUGUGCCCGCCAUGCCUGAGGUAGACUGGUGGAGGUGGUUCAGUUAUGCACGUUCAUGCUGGGAUCCUUCGCUCCCUCCCUUUGAGGACACGAGCAUUUUGGCGAAUUCUGAAGAGCACACGUUUUCCACUUAGCUCAGUCUGUGGCGGGCUCAUGGUGCCUUGGUGCUACUAUCUUUCCAUUUAUCAUCUCAGGCCUCCCUCCCCUUUCCCUGCCCAGCCUUUUUACCUGAUUUAAUUUUCACACCUUAUUCAGUGGCUCUUCAUGGAACUUGUCUGCGUCGUUUUACUUCUCUUCCCUCUGGCGCACGGGUCCUCUCACCAUCUAUCUUCCAGGCCUCCUCCACCCCACAGAACAUUUUGCAAGAAAUGCAAAGAGCUUUCUUUCCACUGUGCAUCUGGGCAGGUGCUGGCCGCCGCUGAAUGGGGUGUGCUACUUAGAGUGUGGGUGUGGGUUUGGGGUGUGUGCGUGGGUUUGGGGCAUGUGCCUCACAUACCUACCCAGGCACAAGUGUAGAACUGACUCCUGCUCUUGCCCCAUUCUCCCUCCAGAAACCACAGGUCACUCUGACUUCCUGCUGGGCGUCCCUACAGAUGUUGGCGGCCCCCUCCUCUCUUCUCCUUGUGCUUAUGAACCAAGCAGCAGAAAGCCCCCUGGUGUUGGGGAGGGAUCGCAAGGAGCGCUUGAGGACGAUCCAAGGCCAGGCGUGGUAGCAUGUGCCUGUAAUCCCAGUGCUUUGGGACACCGAGGCAGGAGGAUCACUCGAGCCCAGGAGUGCGAGGCUGCAGUGACGCUAGACUUCAGGAAGACCCCCCAUUUCUGCUCCCCUCCUGGGCUUGGAGAAGAGUACAGCUGCUCUUGACUGGUGGGACCUUUUGCUGGCUAGGGGUGAUGGGAGAAGCAAGAGAGGGAUCCACACACCUGCGCUUAGCUUUCUAUGACCUGGGCGGAUGGAGGCCAAAGGUAAGGUGGGAUGAGAGAGAAUAAAGACAGGAAGGAAAGGGCUCAGCCAAGAAUGUGUAGUGUUUAAUGCAAUGUCGAUGAAGAGCUCUGCUUACAGCUGUGAUGGUCAUGGGCAGCCACCCUAGACAGGGGCAGGUGGCAGUGCCCUCAGAGAGGGCCCAAGAGGUAACAAGGCCACGGUCAUGCUAGGAGUUCUGGGAGCUGGAUAGAUCCCCAUAGAGGAGCCUGUGUUCCCAAGGCCCCUCUAUGACCACCAGCCUGUGCUGGGCCCGGGACAUGGCCGGCUAAUGUUUGGUUCUGGGUGACCUCCAGCCUUCUGGUUAAGGUCUUGCCUUAGCUCCUGCCUGAGUCGGGGUGGGGAGCUGGAAGGACUCAGCUCCCUGUUCUCCUAAGCUUGCGCUUUCCUUCACUUUCUUGUCGUAUUUCCCCUCUCCCCAGGAGUCACCAGAAGCAUCUUCUCCGCUGGAUAUAAAAGAGAAAUAUUGCGCUUUAGCUGGCUUCAGCAAGAAAGGAAAGAUUCUGUCCUCACCUUGGUGCAUAUGUGGAGAGGCGGGGCAGGCACAGUGCUGUCCUGAACUUGCAUCCUGUGGAGUUGCUGUGGUCUAGAGACAUGUGGAGCAUGGGGUGGAGGAGAGCCAGGUGGGUUUCUGAGGGGGUGAGUGGACUGUGGCCUGAGAGGGGUGUGUGGAGGGCAGAAGUCCUAUGGGAAGAGUGGGAUGAUGGAGAUCUCUUGGGUUAGAAGGGGCUUCUUCUGGUUCUGAAGGCAGUUGCCCAAUAAAGGUGGAUGGGAGCCCAUUCCAGACACCAUCUCGGGGGGUUCGUCUUUUCCUUUUUCUCCACUAGCCUCUUACCUGAUCUUCCAGGGCUAGGUGUCCUUCAGGGGCCAAAGGGGCUGGGGAGUUUCUUGGAAGGCAGAUCAUUAAGAUUUAAUGGGACAUUUCCUGCCAGGCAGAGGGAUUGUAAAAUGCAGCUAAUUUAGAGAGCCAGGGGAUCACAGAGUCAUUUUGCCUUUCGUUGGGAAAGGCCAGACAUGAAAUUAUGCCAAUCCCUGCCCUCCUGUCUUCAGUCCUCCCCAAUUAUACCACUGGGCAGCUGCUGAGCUGGCCCAGAGUAUCUGCUGGACAGAGCCCUUCCCUGCUGGCGGCAGGGGCAGGUGGGUGUUUAGCUGGCUGAGGGCUUAGUGAGGAAAGUGGUGUUGGAGCAGCAUCUACGCAGCCACAAGCCCUUGUGCAGUGCUCGGAUUUCUCAGCUCGGCCCCAGGACCAUAGCCACAGCCCAGACUUCCUUUCCUCCAUCCCCUGUAGUGGCUUCUCAGAGCCUUGGUCUGGCAGGGUCCUUUCCUUUCAGCAGAGUGAGUUGGACAGUUGAAGGAAGUGAGUUGGUAAAGGGGUAGUGGCAAUUGUGUGUCUGUGUGUGUGCAUGUGUGUGCAUGCGUGAGACAGAGACAUAGAGAUGAACAGAGAGACAAAGGCAGGGAGAAGGAGAGAAACACGACCAGAGGGCAGGGAAGUAGAAGGGCACCUGUUGCCUCCCCUGGGGCUGGGCUGUUUGGUUGAAGUUGAUCUCAGCUGUGUGUCUUUACCCAUAGGUGACAGGAAAUGAGAACAUGGAGGGAUAGAUGUGGGCACAGCCUAGGGAGAGGAAAGGGGAGGUGAGAAGUUACAACAGCAGUGGGAUCCUUUGGGGCCCUUGGGCUGAGAUGCUGGAUCAGUGCUGCCCAAGAAGCUGGAGUUUAGAGCUGCUCCUAGGUGUGCAAGGGAAAUAGCCAUAGAUGUGGACACCAAGAGGUUCUGCCACACACAACAUGCAUGACCUCUGUGAGGUCCCAUAAAAAUGAGGAUACCAUUGCAACCUUACACGUAACACAGCUGAAGCUUCUAGAACAUACAGGGCAUCCAGUAAGUCCAUGUUCCACCUUCCCUCCCUUCCAUAGAGGGGGAUACACGGAUGCUUAGUACAGUGCCAGACACAUGCUUGGCACUCAGUACAACUUGGUGGAAUUGGAUUCCGAAUCCCAACAGCCACUCAGCCACUGCCCCUCGGCCUUGGGAGCUGGAGUCAGGCAGAGCUGAGGGUUGCACCCAG
RNAcentral lists this long non-coding RNA (4416 nucleotides) under Homo sapiens (human). RNAcentral describes it as "HSALNT0365315". The record is from RNAcentral. Lineage: Eukaryota; Metazoa; Chordata; Mammalia; Primates; Hominidae.